Molecule: small nucleolar RNA, 132 nt
Organism: Mastomys coucha (southern multimammate mouse)
Lineage: Eukaryota; Metazoa; Chordata; Mammalia; Rodentia; Muridae
Product: small nucleolar RNA SNORA17
Exons: 1
Source: RefSeq, a predicted model, not a curated record
CCUGCCCCUAGAGGCAUUGCAGGUGUGGCUACUGAGUCACACGUGCAUCAGUAGGUGGCAGAGAGGAGAAUGGCUAUGCCUAUGCUCAGUGUUCUGGCCUAUGAACAUCUGAGUGAUUAAUAGCCUAAAAUU